CCCUUAGAUGUUCUGGGCCGCACGCGUGCUACACUGAGUGGAUCAGCGGGUCAGGUUGCGCGAAAGUGUUUCCUAAUCUUGAAAUCCGCUCGUGAUGGGGAUUGACGGUUGCAAUUUUCCGUCAUGAACGAGGAAUACCUUGUAAGCGCGGGUCAUCAUCCUGCGCUGAAUACGUCCCUGCCCUUUGUACACACCGCCCGUCGCUCCUACCGAUUGAGUGGUCCGGUGAGGCUUUGGGAUCUGAGCAAAGAGAGCGUUUCGCUCGUUUUGCCCGGAAAACUCAGUCGAACCUUAUCAUUUAGAGGAAGGAGAAGUCGUAACA
RNAcentral lists this ribosomal RNA (322 nucleotides) under uncultured eukaryote. RNAcentral's name for it is "partial 18S ribosomal RNA". It matches the Rfam family "Eukaryotic small subunit ribosomal RNA", at positions 1470 to 1796 of the family's 1831-position model. The record is from RNAcentral.